GAAUUUUGGACAAUGGGCGAAAGCCUGAUCAAGCAAUGCCGCGUGCAGGAUGAAGGCCUUCGGGUUGUAAACUGCUUUUGUACGGAACGAAAAGAUUUGGGUUAAUACCCUGGAGUCAUGACGGUACCGUAAGAAUAAGCACCGGCUACCUACGUGCCAGCAGCCGCGGUAAUACGAAGGGUGCAAGCGUUAAUCGGAAUUACUGGGCGGAAAGCGGUCGCAGGCGGUUUUGGAAGCCAUAGGUGAAAUCCCCGGGCUCAACCUUGGAACUGCCGUUGUGACUGCAAGGCUAGAGUACGGCAGAGGGGGGUGGAAUUCCGCGUGUAGCAGUGAAAUGCGUAGAUAUGCGGAGGAACACCGAUGGCGAAGGCAACCCCCUGGGCCUGUACUGACGCUCAUGCACGAAAGCGUGGGGAGCAAACA
This 423-nucleotide ribosomal RNA is filed under the name uncultured bacterium. RNAcentral's name for it is "partial 16S ribosomal RNA". It matches the Rfam family "Bacterial small subunit ribosomal RNA", at positions 359 to 774 of the family's 1533-position model. The record is from RNAcentral.